Molecule: ribosomal RNA, 347 nt
Filed under: uncultured Eubacteriales bacterium
Lineage: Bacteria; Bacillati; Bacillota; Clostridia; Eubacteriales
Description: bacterial SSU rRNA
Rfam family: Bacterial small subunit ribosomal RNA
Source: RNAcentral
UGACAGGUGGUGCAUGGUUGUCGUCAGCUCGUGUCGUGAGAUGUUGGGUUAAGUCCCGCAACGAGCGCAACCCUCGACCUUAGUUGCCAGCAUUCAGUUGGGCACUCUAAGGGACUGCCGGCGACAAGUCGGAGGAAGGUGGGAUGACGUCAAGUCAUCAUGCCCUUUAUGUCCUGGGCUACACACGUGCUACAAUGGCCUGUACAGAGGGAAGCGAAAGGGUGACCUGGAGCGAAUCCCAAAAAGCAGGUCUCAGUUCGGAUUGCAGGCUGCAACCCGCCUGCAUGAAGUCGGAAUCGCUAGUAAUCGCAGGUCAGCAUACUGUGGUGAAUACGUUCCCGGGCCUU